CUGUCUCUUGUAGUUCCCCUGAACGCUUCAUAUGAGAUUAUAUAUUUUCUUUAAUGAAGUGUUUGGGGGAACUCCUGGAUUCAA
Non-coding RNA from Cajanus cajan (pigeon pea), 84 nucleotides. Lineage: Eukaryota; Viridiplantae; Streptophyta; Magnoliopsida; Fabales; Fabaceae. The record is from Rfam.